This 253-nucleotide ribosomal RNA is filed under the name uncultured bacterium. RNAcentral's name for it is "partial 16S ribosomal RNA". It matches the Rfam family "Bacterial small subunit ribosomal RNA", at positions 524 to 776 of the family's 1533-position model. The record is from RNAcentral.
UACGUAGGGCGCAAGCGUUGUCCGGAAUUAUUGGGCGUAAAGAGCGCGUAGGCGGUUUGUCGCGUCUGCUGUGAAAACUCGAGGCUCAACCUCGGGCUUGCAGUGGGUACGGGCAGACUAGAGUGCGGUAGGGGUGACUGGAAUUCCUGGUGUAGCGGUGGAAUGCGCAGAUAUCAGGAGGAACACCGAUGGCGAAGGCAGGUCUCUGGGCCAUAACUGACGCUGAGGAGCGAAAGCGUGGGGAGCGAACAGG